RNAcentral lists this small RNA (29 nucleotides) under Bombyx mori (domestic silkworm). RNAcentral describes it as "ovarian small RNA-17724". Lineage: Eukaryota; Metazoa; Arthropoda; Insecta; Lepidoptera; Bombycidae. The record is from RNAcentral.
GUCAUAUACACGAUUUUUCACAAAGUUUG